RNAcentral lists this ribosomal RNA (302 nucleotides) under uncultured bacterium. RNAcentral describes it as "partial 16S ribosomal RNA". It matches the Rfam family "Bacterial small subunit ribosomal RNA", at positions 508 to 807 of the family's 1533-position model. The record is from RNAcentral.
GCAGCAGCCACGGUAAUACGAAGGGGGCUAGCGUUGCUCGGAAUGACUGGGCGUAAAGGGCGCGUAGGCGGUUUCUUAAGUCUGAUGUGAAAGCCCCCGGCUCAACCGGGGAGGGUCAUUGGAAACUGGGAAACUUGAGUGCAGAAGAGGAGAGUGGAAUUUCACGUGUAGCGGUGAAAUGCGUAGAUAUCGGAAGGAACACCUGUGGCGAAAGCGGCUCACUGGACAAUAACUGACGCUGAUGCACGAAAGCUAGGGGAGCAAACAGGAUUAGAUACCCCAGUAGUCCCUGUCUCUUAUAC